This 5017-nucleotide long non-coding RNA is filed under the name Homo sapiens (human). RNAcentral's name for it is "non-protein coding TUG1:65". The stretch from base 594 to 830 matches the Rfam family "Taurine upregulated gene 1 conserved region 3". The record is from RNAcentral. Lineage: Eukaryota; Metazoa; Chordata; Mammalia; Primates; Hominidae.
AGGCCCGGCCGCCGCGGCGCGCGCCCGGUGGCCGUUGGCGCUCGCGCCGCGUCUUUCUUCUCGGCAGAGACAGAUAAUCUCACUUCCAGAGAAAUGACUUGGAGAAAAAAAAGUGUUGGUCUUUUUGCUCUUUUGUAAUUAAAUCCGGAUGUACCUCAAAAGACUUAAGACUGUGGUGAUAAGAUGCUUUCCUCAGCAGAAAGGAGGGAAAAAAAACAACUGGAACUCAAAGCUUGAAAUUCUGUGGCAAAACAUGAGAUGUCCAGGAUUGGAGGUUGAAAAGAUUUCACUACAGUGUUCUGCAAUAGUUGGAGCAGAUAACUUUCAGUGUAGCCACAGCCAUGGACUCCAGAUUUCCAGAUUUUCAAGACCUGGACCUGGAACCCGAAAGAGCUUGUCACGAUGCGGCAGGAACACUGGAGGUAGAUUUUUUUUUAUUUUUGAAUUUUGGGACUGUUGACCUUGCUGUGAGAAAAGAGACAACGACUGAGCAAGCACUACCACCAGCACUGUUACUGGGAAUUAGAAGACCUGAGUUUCUGUCCAGACCCUCAGUGCAAACUGAGGAUGCUCCAUCCAAAGUGAAUUAUGUCCUGUGCCUCCUGAUUGCUGAGUGUUCACCUGGACCUUCUGACUACCUUCCCUGUGCUAUUCCAUCAGCCUACAGACCUGGUACCUGGAUUUUUGCCCGAGAUGAUUCCUACCACCUUACUACUGACGAAGACACCCAUUCCAGUGGACCACUGUGACCCAGGAGGCAUUCAGCCAUCAUGAUGUGGCCUUUACCUCCACUCCUGUCUUGUUCUACCCAGAUUCAGCACAGCCCUUUAUAGUGAAGUCAGAGUCCUCAAGCCAAAUAGCUAAAGCUGUUUUAUCACAACAAAGGCCUAGUUUGUUCCAUGAGUGUGCAUUUCAUUUCUUCAGUUAAAGCCUUCAGAGACACACAAUAAAUUUGGACCAGGGGAUUUUUUAGUUAUUAAUGCUCUCUGAAGAAAGGCAACAUCUUUUUGAGAGCAGCAUUGGACCACACCCCACAAUCUCAAAUGAUUGAAAUUCAUGAACAUCUAGGAUCCCGUGAAGGUCACUGGACCCUGUUUUUUCUACUUCAAAUCCUGUAGUAGCCUACUGAAUGAGAAAACAUAUUCUGACCCAUUGGGAUCAAAUCAAAGGCACAGUGAACUCCUCAUAGCAUCUUCUUUGGAAUUACUCAGGAACCAGAACUUUUUACACAAAUGUAAGAAAUUCUACCAAGGAGUCCCCUUACCUAACAGCAUCUCACAAGGCUGCACCAGAUUCCAGAAAAGGCUUCUCUUGAUACAUCAAGGUAGAACCUCUAUGCAUUUUGUGACCGACUUAUUCUUAGAUCAUUGGUUUUCCAAAGGCUUUGUGGCCAUGAAGCCCUUUGAGUGAAAACUGUGCAGAAGCCCAGAGUAAAAGUGAAGCUGCUCUGGAUGAAGUAGUGAAGCAAGAGUAGGGGCCUGAAUCCUGCUACAACUAUCUUCCUUUACCACCGUGGUGACACCUAAGGGGACUUCCUUACAACACCUUGAACUCUUCCGAACACAGUUUGAAAACCACUGCCCCAGACAGCAAUAUGUUUGACCUGAAUGGCAUUCCAAUCUUUUCUGUACCUCCACUCAGCACAGUUCAUGUUCAGUAGAUGCUGAACAUUCUUAGAAAUACUGUGUGUGAACUUAGAAAAGUGCAAGAAGACAGGCAUGUCUUUGACCCCAGGAAUGAUCAUUUGCUGAAGAUGGUGUCAAGUGAACCUAGAUUAACAGCCCUCCACUCCAGAUGGAUAUCCAGUGAUUCCUAGAAUGGGAUAUAGCCAGAGAACAAUUCUAUGCACCCUACACUGACAGACUCCCUUAAGCAACACCAGAUGCUCUACUGGUACUUGAAGUACAUGACUUUGAAGUCUUGACCCUCCAUGAAUACCUGAAUUAUCAGCAAGCGGGUUUUGAAGCUGGUGCCUCAUUGAGGCCAUAUUAGAGCAACUUGUACAUUUGACCUCUUGUUAUCAGCCAUGGUACUCUACUUCGUGUGCAAGAGAUAACUAUGAAAGCCAAAUUCAAAUACUGGCAACAUUUCCUAAAGGGGCUCAAUAUCUAUCAUUCGUCUUCUUUUCCAAACUACACAUCACUGUAUGACUCAACCAGUAGCAGUUAUAUUGCCCCUUGGUUUUUAUUCAGUUUAACUACUGUUUCCAAGAUAAAUGAGCUAAUAAGCUUUAAAAAAAAAAAAAAAAAAGGCUGAAUUCUUUUUUCUUCAUCACUGGCAUAUCUGCCUAUUCUCCAGAAUUAUUAUGACUAUUCAGCUCACUUUAACAGUUGAACUUCAAGCGACAAUCUUUGAACACCCCUUCUCAUGUGAUUUAAAAUGAAACCAUUUGGAAAAGUUUCUUCUAGCCAGUAAUAGAUUUUUUUUUUAAUUGCUCUGCCUUGUGCCGAGAGAUGUUCUUUUAAGAUGAAUCUUUUGAUGUCUGAUACCACCAAAUAUAGGUGGUAGGGAGAGUUGGAGGCUGGCCCUUUGAGCAGGCCAUUAGCUUACUUGCUGGGCAUUUCCGAUAGCUUAUUGCCUACCUUUUUGCUGGAAACAAACUGAUUUGAAAAACAAAAUCUAUGAAGACUGCAGCUAAGGAUUUUAUCGGUAGACUUAAGAGCUUUUGUCCUUGUGGAUAUUUUAGUGGAACCACAUCAGUCUCAAUACUGUCAUUUUACACUGACUCAGAGCAGCUGACUUCAUUCCUUGCCAUGAUAUAUAUUUAAGGCAGGCAUUGUAACAGACAUAAAGACAACUUAUCUGUUUCAGCAGGAAGGAUUCAGUUUAUGAACUCUCAGACCAGAUCAUGUUGAACAAGGAGACUUUGAUGUGUGUCAUGAGAAAACUCAUUCUUUACUUCCCAGUCAAUUUAAAGGCCAGCUAUCCUGAGCUACUCGAAUGAAUGCACUGGUUAAACAUUGGAAAUAGUUUGUUUAUAUCCUUGUCUCUCUCUAGGCCAAUUGUGAUUACAUGACUCGACUCUACAUCUCGUCAAACAAGGCCUAGGUCUGGUUGCUGUAGACUGCUCGCCCUCAACAAAUAAAAUCUGGUUGACUAGCCUCCUUGUAUAUACAACUAUUAUUUGUUAAGAAGAAAUUAUCGUCAAUUUUCUACUACCUUCCAAUUGUCAGCUCUUUUUUUCCUCUCUGGUUUUUCCUAUACUUUACAGAAAAAGACAUUGAUCUAUACUGCCAUUCCCUCUAAUCCUGCCAUACUCAGUCAAAAGGAAUGACUUAAGAUGAAGAUGAUCAUCUGCUCGAGUCUAAAAUAUACAUUGUAUAUAAGAAUUGGUGAUUAGAAAAGCAAAAAACCUAAAACUUAAAUCUAGGAGUCUGUAUACUGUCUCCAUGUCUCCAUGCCUCAGAUCUCAUCUAAAUCUUUGAACAGCACCAUUCAACCAAUCUGAGGCCUUGACUUGCUUGUAAGAUGAUUCUCAGAGAUCGGCUGAGUUAAAAAAGAUGACGACUUGAUUACCAAAGAAAGUAGGGCCAACUUUGACAAAUCUGGCUCUGCUGACCCUGUCACUCCCAGAUGUAGCAUAGACUCCUAAACAGAACCUCAAGUCUGAUUGAGGAUAAGGCCUUCUCCUGAGCUGAAAGUUCUUUGGCAGAUGAGCAAGAAACUGAAAGCUGAUGUACCUGACUGGCUCUGUAAGAUCAGAAAACUGUAUCCAGAAUAAGCCCUAUGGAUUAACCCCUGAGUACCCAGAGUAAAAACUAAUUUACAGAACUUCCUUAUUGAUCUGCUGGUUCUUCCAGAUCAUAUUCUGGCUAUUGGUAUGGCUGGCCUUUCUGAAGGUACCCUGCUUGUCUAUUUUCCUGACUCAGCUCUUGCCUGCCUUUUUCACAUGUUGCUGCAAUUAGACUCACCGUGAGGACUACAGUCAAUUUCAGUCUAUCUUGUGCCCAAUACAACAAGGAUUUUUAAUAGUAACAACCCACACCUCACCCACUAGGACUCAAUGUUCACAACAGGAAGGACCAUUGCUGCAUACUCCUUGACCAGCAACUUUUUUGAAGAUAUUUUUAAGUGCAGAGUAGGCCUCUAUUCCUGUAUGUAAUUGUUCAUUUUCAGCACCUGGAACCUCAUCUAUCGGGUCUGGAAGGAAUACAGCAGUUCGAAAGCCGCGUCCAUUUCUCUCCUUCAGUAGUGCAGAAAUGAGUCCGAUUCACCAGUACACACAGAACUGUACCAGUUCAACCUAGCAAAAGAAGAAAAGUUUCCACUGUACUUAAAAUUUACAGCUGACUCAAAUUGCCUCACAGAAUUAUUUGAUGUAGAAGGCUAGUUGUCUUACUUCAGAUCAGCAGGACAGUUGGGCUCUCAGACUCAUGACCACUGAGUUUGCUUGUGUUGAAACUGUGGUUUCAUCCAACAUAUGCUAUUGGACAUGAUUAUUAUUCCAUUCAAAUGGAUUACAGACUUCUUGAGGACAGGACAAACUUAUCUCUCAUGGUGUUUUUUUAGAAUACUUUUAUAACCAAGGAAGAAACCAUGCCAGCUGUUACCAUUCAACUUCUUAAGCAGAGAUUAAGCUUUUUCAUAUCUGUUCUUAUCCUGGACAUCAGUAGUUUUUAAUUGCCCAGCAUCCGUUCCAUCUUGUAACAACUCCCUGAUGUUUCUUAAAACCACCUCUUCCUAUUUUCAGUCUGUGGUUUGGACAGUCUGACCCAACCUUGAGCUUUGUGGGUGAACAUGUAAUUCAGACCUCAUCAAUCAGCAAAUCCAUCUGAACUGUGGAGGAGAAGCUCUCUUUACUGAGGGUGCUUUAGCUUUGUAGGAUGAAAACCUCAAACUAACAGGGCCUACCAUGUAGAGAAUGAAGCCAGUGCAGGGGAAAGCAGAGCCAAAAUAUGGAGAGACUUGAAUCCUGAUGACAGCGUUUGUGCCCCUGGAUCCAACCGUGCCUGAAGCUAGAAUAUCCCCUGGACUUUUCAGUUAUGUGAACCAAUAAAUACCCUUUUUUGCUUAAGUU